Molecule: long non-coding RNA, 670 nt
Filed under: Homo sapiens (human)
Lineage: Eukaryota; Metazoa; Chordata; Mammalia; Primates; Hominidae
Description: non-protein coding lnc-MFSD2A-2:1
Source: RNAcentral
CUGCUUGUCAACUCUAGUCACCUUCUGAAUGCGAAAGGGAGUUCUGACAGGUGUUAACUUAUUCUACUGUAAUACACCCCUCAAAUUUCCAUAGAGCCAUGCUCCGUAUGGGCAUCCUUUAAUAAGCCAGGUUUCCAUUGCCCUUUUACCUGAGUGUAUGGCCAAGCCAUUGGUCACUGCCCAUAAGUCAGUAGAAACCCAAACACAAGGGCUUCCAUCACUGUUCAAUUCUUCCAUUACUGUUAGAAAAACAGCAUGCAGCUCAGCCCACCAAGUUGAUCUAUUUUUACCAUCCAAACAGGAUGUUGUUCAUUCACUUCGGAACUGCAGUCUGUAAACCAAGCACCUUGGGCUGGCCACUGUGGCUCACACCUGUAAUCUCAGUGUUUUGGGAGGCUAAGGCAAGCGGAUCACCUGAGCCCAGGAGUUCAAGGCCAGCCUGGGCAACAUAGCGAGACCUUGUCUUAAAAAACAGAAACAAAAAUAAGCCAGGCAUGGUGGCUUGUACCUGUAGUCCCAGUUACUCGGGAGGCUGAAGUGGAUGGAUCGCUUGAACCCAGGAGGUCAAGGCUGCAGUGAGCCAUGAUUGAGCCACUGCAGUACAGCCUGAGUGACAAAACAAGACCCCAUCUCAAACCACUCCCUACCCAGCCCAGGCACAGUGCCUCAC